GCUAACUACGUGCCAGCAGCCGCGGUAAUACGUAGGUGGCAAGCGUUAUCCGGAAUUAUUGGGCGUAAAGCGCGCGCAGGCGGUUUCUUAAGUCUGAUGUGAAAGCCCACGGCUUAACCGUGGAGGGUCAUUGGAAACUGGGGAACUUGAGUGCAGAAGAGGAGAGCGGAAUUCCACGUGUAGCGGUGAAAUGCGUAGAGAUGUGGAGGAACACCAGUGGCGAAGGCGGCUCUCUGGUCUGUAACUGACGCUGAGGCGCGAAAGCGUGGGUAGCAAACAGGAUUAGAUACCCUUGUAGUC
RNAcentral lists this ribosomal RNA (300 nucleotides) under uncultured Allobacillus sp. Its description in RNAcentral is "bacterial SSU rRNA". It matches the Rfam family "Bacterial small subunit ribosomal RNA", at positions 496 to 795 of the family's 1533-position model. The record is from RNAcentral. Lineage: Bacteria; Bacillati; Bacillota; Bacilli; Caryophanales; Bacillaceae.